AUUCUAGGCCACCGAAUACAUUAGCAUGGGAUAAUGGAAUAGGACCCUGUCCUCCUAUUUUCAGUUGGUUUUGGCAGCGCGAGGACUAGGGUAAUGAUUAAUAGGGAUAGUUGGGGGCAUUAAUAUUUAAUUGUCAGAGGUGAAAUUCUUGGAUUUAUGAAAGAUUAACUUCUGCGAAAGCAUCUGCCAAGGAUGUUUUCAUUAAUCAAGAACGAAAGUUAGGGGAUCGAAGACGAUCAGAUACCGUCGUAGUCUUAACCAUAAACGAUGCCGACCAGCGAUUAGGAGACGUUGAAUACAAAACACCACCAUCGGCGCGGUCGUCCUUGGCGCGUUCGUGUUCACGCACGGGCGCGCGAGGGCGGCUUAGCCCGGUGGCACCGGUGAAUGACUCCCUAGCACAGGGGGGGGAAG
Molecule: ribosomal RNA, 414 nt
Filed under: Acanthamoeba sp.
Lineage: Eukaryota; Discosea; Longamoebia; Acanthamoebidae
Description: SSU rRNA
Rfam family: Eukaryotic small subunit ribosomal RNA
Source: RNAcentral